GCUGCAUCGCUAACGCUUCUAGACCGUUCUCGUGGUACUCCCAGGCGCCCAUCCCCCCAGCAGAGUGAUAUAAUUGAAAGUGCUUCUAUAUUUGAGGAAGAACAAAUUGGUGGUUGAAUGGUGGAUUAAUAAGUAGCUGUUGUAUUACCAGAAUAAGAAGAUAUUUUGGGAGUUGGGAAGAACCUGAUUUUCACCCUAGCCUGGCAGCUUUGCUGCUCGCUUAAACACAGAUGAAUGAAGACCCCAUUUGGAAAAUCACCAGGUCAGCGGUCCAGAGCUGAUGCAGGUCAUGCAGGAGUCUCUGCGAACAUGAUGAAGAAAAGAACCUCCCACAAGUAAGUUGACAAUAUCUUUCCUGAAGUAUAGUUCUCAAUAACUGGAGGUACUGUUCUGGAAAUAUAUAUGUAUUGUUCCACUCAUUUUGCUCUUGAAAAUCAUGUGGAAUAGUAUUCAGUGUAUGUGUGUAGAGUCAUACAUUAAUUCUUUUAGGAGGACAGUGGGAAAGAAUGCACCAUUGGUAGAGUUCUAAGCAUAAUUUUGAAUGUUACUCUGAGAGAAAUUAUCCUGUCGAUACAAUUAUGUAAUUUAUAAUUCAGAGACAAGAGGUUGCAAGCUGGAAAUUUGGGGGCACAUGUACUCUAGGAUUCAUUAGAGCUUUAGGUUUUGAAGAGGAUUUUCACUU
Neopsephotus bourkii (Bourke's parrot) is the source of this 682-nucleotide long non-coding RNA. RefSeq lists it as uncharacterized. The transcript has 3 exons. NCBI's taxonomy places the organism in Eukaryota, Metazoa, Chordata, Aves, Psittaciformes, Psittacidae. The record is from RefSeq and is a predicted model, not a curated record.